Molecule: long non-coding RNA, 350 nt
Filed under: Homo sapiens (human)
Lineage: Eukaryota; Metazoa; Chordata; Mammalia; Primates; Hominidae
Description: HSALNT0395933
Source: RNAcentral
UCCAGGAGGCAGGGAGGCCCAUGUCUCUCUGUCCACUUAGCUUUCUGGGCUGACAGUCUAGAAGACGCAUGCAGGAAUCAAGGUCUCAGACAGGUUUUCUCCCAGCAUCCCGAGAAGCAGCAGACAAACGCCACGGACCUCCCCACCUCCCCACCCUGCCCCCGCCUUCGCCUCGGGGGACUCCCAGGCCAAUCGGCCGCCUUCCUUCCCUCCAGUCCGGGCUGGCAGCCAAGAGGAAAAUUCCUGCCCGAGACUCGGCGUUCAGGCGGCUGGGGCUGACUCAAUAGGGGCCCCACUGUCCCCACUUCACUGUCCUUCUCCCCCACCAUCCCAAGGGUCCCGGCCCCCAC